RNAcentral lists this long non-coding RNA (210 nucleotides) under Numida meleagris (helmeted guineafowl). RNAcentral's name for it is "lncRNA (ENSNMEG00000009446.1)". Lineage: Eukaryota; Metazoa; Chordata; Aves; Galliformes; Numididae. The record is from RNAcentral.
ACUUUAUGACUUGUGCACUUCGUGGGAAUGAUAAGUUUUUUCAAAUGGUCUGACUGUCAGAUGCCUGAUUUUGAUGGAUGAUGCUAAGCACGGACAUAAUCACCAUCUUGGUCUCAAAACCAGCCAGUAAGAUACGGGGGAAUCAUCAUGGCUCUGAUCAUAGGAGGCCCUGGAUCUCUGAGUAGCAUGCAGCCUGCUCCCCAUGACUAA